Tympanuchus pallidicinctus (lesser prairie-chicken) is the source of this 3471-nucleotide long non-coding RNA. RefSeq lists it as uncharacterized. Lineage: Eukaryota; Metazoa; Chordata; Aves; Galliformes; Phasianidae. The transcript has 3 exons. The record is from RefSeq and is a predicted model, not a curated record.
AAUUGCAUUCCUCCUGUGAAGAAGAAUCAGGUGGAGGUCUUCAGUCAAGUCUACCCUGGCUUUAGGCAGCUCCUUUAGGCUUUGGCAGCCUUUCCAGCUGCUGUUUUUCUGCUGUGAAUUCUCAGUGAAACUAAUGAGCACCAUGCAGGAGCUGUUUUAAAAUAUAUCGUCAAGCUUCUGUAUUUUUAAGAAGACCUAACAGCUGUAAAUAUGGCUUGCAGUUUAUGUAGGAAGUGGAUCUGUCAUCCCCAGCAGAAGGCUUGCUGGGUCUGGUCUGGGUGCUUGCCAGCUCUCCAGCUACUCAGGAGCUGACUGCCAUCUCUGAUUCUGCUUGGCGCUGCCGUGCUCUGCAAGGCCGUUUACACCAAGCAGCGGCUGUUUCUGGAAGCUGUUCUGCCAAGUGGCUCUUUUACAUAAGAAUCGGACAGCUUUUUCCUGACUAAUUAUCUUCUAACUACUCCUAAUGACACUGAAGGUGCUGAGGAGAAAGGAGGAGCGAAAAUAUCGGUUUGAAAAGGCUGCCCACACCACGCGACGGGGCCCAGGAUGCUGCCUCACCACAGGGCGAGAGGCCCGGGCCCCGCAACGUGGCUGCCGUGAGGGCGGGGCGCACGGUGUCCCUGCCGUGCUGACUGGCAGGACUGGCGGCUAAAGGAGAAUUCUUUUACAAACUCGCUUCCCAAGAGAGAAGAGGCUGUCGCUUCUGCAUGCUGCAAAAGCAUUGCUGACGGCUGUGUUACUGGUGUGUAAAACCAACAGGGAGCUGAAUGCUGAAAGCUCACAGAAGCCCUGCAGAGCUCAGCAACCCAGGGUAAGUGUGCUGGGGCAUGGAUGAGGCUGUUCUUCAGGGCCUCGCAUCCUGCCCUGGCUGUGGCACGAGGCAGCAUGGCCCUGGAAGGUCGUCGGGGUACUUCUCUGACAUCUCAGAACCUUGUGGUGGCCCAAGGUGCAGUUCCACGGGCUUACUUUCCACUGCCAGGCUUUUCCAAACCUGUUCACUUUUCAGCUGAAUCGGUAAACUAAAUAAACAGUGUAUGACAUAGAAGAGGAGGUGGGAUGCGCGUGCAGGGAUAGAUGGGAAAAAGACAGUGUCUGUUCCUUCUGGCUGCAGCAGCCUUAGCUUGAGAGAUCACAGCCCAGAAACCUCGAAGCAGCCCCUGUUGGUGUGGGGCUGCUCUGCUCGCUCCUUGGCCAAUCCCAACAUACCUUUUAUAUUGAGGCAAUUUUCUGGCUUCUUUGUUCUGCCUGAAUUGAUGAUAAUUAGGUAUCAGCAUACACAUUGUGCCAUACAGCGCUGCUUGGGUGAUUUCCGUAUGGACUUAAUUAAUUAAGCUAAGUGCAAAAGGUUUAAAUUCUGUAUUUGUAAAAGUAAAGUGCUGGAUUCCAUUUUCAGAAAGAUUUUAUUCUCUGGAAACUGUUAAUAUAUUUCUACUGCUAUCACACUUUAAAUGAACUCACGAGUUAAGAACAGUGACAGAGAAUAAAUUAUCAUACAGCUGGUAGGAGAAAGAUAAAUAAAAGGAUAUACAUAAAAAUUAAUGGAUUCUGUCCCUGUGUGUGCGGAAGAACCAGUCCUUGAUGAUGAAAGGCUAUUAACUAGCUUAGUGUAAUUAACUGUUUUGCUUCAGGAAGAGGGGUUUGCAGUUCUUUCUUUGAAGCCAAGUGUCACAAGCAUGUGCAGAGUGCAAUAACCACUUUUCUGCAUUGAAAAAAUGCUUUAGGAAAUGUGUAGAGGAAGGUGGGGAGAUUUGGAACAGAAUGGUCACUUCACUCUUCAACAAAGGUAAAAAAUGAAGUCAGCUGAGAGGCUGUGCCAGCGAAACAGUGCAUUUGAAACUGAAUUUGAGACUCUGAGCAUCACCUUACUACAGUCUCCAGGCCAAUGGGAAGGUCCCCCAACUUGUCCAAUUCUAGGACCAGUCAUUAAGUGCCCUUUAUAAGGAGUACAUUUCAUUCUGAGUUGUAGGCAGAAAAAAUUACAAGGGCAGCUCACAAUUCUUAGCUGUUUAAUUCAUGGUAUAUAUUGAAUUUGGGAAAUGUACCUACUGAAGUUAAUGGAGGAAUGUUAGAAGGUCUGAGUUGACACCAUGGUAUGUUAUGCAGCUCCUUUCUUUUCUCACAAGCGAGGCCUGUGGGAGAGACAGAUGUGAUGGAAGGUGCUGUGGCAGCAGUACACCAUGCAGUCACCUUGACCAGACAGAGUUCCUUUUUUGCUUUUUUGGGAGUUCAAAUCAGCUGACAGAGGUGAAGGCAUGGCCCAUCUUGGUUUGGUAUCUUGACGUAUUGACACCUAGUGAAAGCAAGCUUUGCAGUUCGAGAAAAUAGCUGCUCUUACUGAUGAAUCAGCACCAUUUUUUUUCACUUAAGAAAAUGAAGCAUAUGGCAUGAUAGUGCUUGCUGUCAUACCUGCUGCUUAUCUGUGACAGAGAAACUGUCAAACGUACAGCCUGUAUGAAGUGGUUGUGACACAGGGAUAGCGUUUCAGAGAGGUGGAUGGUCCUGAAAACUCCUUGAGCAAACUAAGCAAACAGAAGAACGGACGAGAAAGAUUCCAGCUCAGCCCACUCAUUUUGUGACACUGGGCAGCUCUUCCCAGCAGCUUUGCAGGUUUAAUCAGAGUUUUCUGUGAAACUCUUCCUAAACAAUGGGGCAGCUCUGUAAAGUCGUGAGCCCCUUCUCUCAAAGCAGGGCAAGCACUUCUUCCUUCUGCUCCUUCCUCACCUUGCAAUGCCCCUUUCUGCUCUGAGCCAAGUGCAGCACCAGGAACUGCUGUGCUGCUGUGGGUGAAGUACUGCAGCAAGUGGGCAAGGGAGCCUGGCAUCACUUUGAGUCUCUUCUGCUGAUACUGACUUAAGGGAUAUGGCUGUGUCCUGGCCGGCUCUUCUUUUUGCACUGUGGGGAUUCUGAUUUCUUUUCAAAAACCUGCAUCACCACAGAAAUUAUCUGGGCUGCUGAGGGGUGUCUGGGUGAAGUGGCAGGAGGAAAGACUGGGGCCAAACCUGCUUCACCUGGGUAAUGGAGGAACAAAACCAUGGUAAAAUUAGGGUGCAAUGAAGAUGGAUAUCAAAAACUCAGAUUGCAGAAAAAGGACAUCUGAAUAGUCCUGUAAGAAAGACUUGAAGUUAGUCAUUUUCCCUUCUCUCCCCAAAAAGGAAUGUAACCACGUAUCUUUACAUAGUUUUUUGUUUCUUUAAAUCCAGAAGAUGUGCAUGCCCCUAUCAUUUCAUUAGUGAAAUUUAAGAAAUGGAUACCUUAAAGUAUUUCCAGAUUCUGCACUGAAAGUCUGCAGAAAUGAGAAGUAUUUCUGUAUUAUUCAGUGCCAUUCUUGGGGUGGGCUUGAAGGCUGGUGUUGUGCUGAGAUUUUCCCACCAAAUAAAGCUGUGAUCGUCUUUUUCCUUCUAUUACCUGUUCUGCAAACAGAAGAACCUAUUCUGCACUGGAAAUUACUCUGUAUAGAAAGGAUGGACUCAA